CAGAUCGGGAUACUCAUCAAAUAACUUACAAGAAACCGAGACCGCUUCUCUUGCUAAUGGCGGGCCGCAAUUCCAUCUGGAACAGCCUUGUGCCGGCGGAUUACAAAGGCGGAGAGCACUCUAAAUAUUUACACACUCGGAGUUUCAUCACAUCGCCAGUGUAGCAUUUUU
Molecule: small RNA, 171 nt
Filed under: uncultured Prevotella sp.
Lineage: Bacteria; Pseudomonadati; Bacteroidota; Bacteroidia; Bacteroidales; Prevotellaceae
Description: Bacteroidales-1 6S-Bacteroidales RNA suggested
Rfam family: Bacteroidales-1 6S-Bacteroidales RNA suggested
Source: RNAcentral